Gasterosteus aculeatus aculeatus (three-spined stickleback) is the source of this 902-nucleotide long non-coding RNA. RefSeq lists it as uncharacterized. Lineage: Eukaryota; Metazoa; Chordata; Actinopteri; Perciformes; Gasterosteidae. The record is from RefSeq and is a predicted model, not a curated record.
AGGUAGAAACUGCGCGAACAACCCGCAGUGUGGGUUCGUCUCGCACGCUCUGAGCAGCAAACGGAAGCCGUCAAACGCACACGGAAUCACCUCCGUUGGCUGACACACGUUCGCUCACACGCGACGUUACGGCUGUUUCUGGCAGUGGUUGAACGAUGAAUCGCACGGAGCUUCAGUUGGAUGUGAAAGCAGGGUUGCAUGACGAGAACAUGCACGCUCAAGGACACAUUUGCAUCUCGACCUUUGAAGAGGAAUAGCUGCAACCCACCAUGCCGAUGGAAGGGCCCAGGCCUCCAGUCAUCUCCAUCUGGUGGUGUUUCAUGAUGUAGGCCAGCAACUCCCUCCAGUUGUAGCCGUCGGGUAUGGCGAUGGUGGUGACGGAGGGAAGCCUCAAGUCCUGCGGGAUGUUUUUGAAAUGACUGUUGUUAACAAGUUGCUACGACAGCACACAGUUUAUUAUUUUUGUUUGUUAUGUGUUCAGUCAUUUUCAGUGUCCUGUACUGCAGCAGAAAAAGCCCAGUCUGCAGUUUCAUUUUUAAGUCUACCGUACCGCUUCAGGAAUGAAGAGCUUGAGGCCCAAGUCCCCCAGGCCCCUGUACAGGUAGCCUGCCACCUCCUUGUGUUUCCUCCAGGACUCCUCCAGCCCCUAGAGGGUGACAAAGAUUGACAAGAGUUAUGUGAGAAUCAGACGGGAGGUUCAGAGGGGACUUUGCCAACAGUACCAAGUCUAAACUACAGCACCACUAAAGGCUAAUUCAAAGAGCUAAGUCAAUUUUCAAGAAAAGAUAAAACACUGCCUCUCUAAAGAUGUAAUGAUAUGUAGGUCAAAGAUUCAUAUCUAUUGCCAAUAAAAGCAACAUGCGUUAUUGCGGAAAAAGAAAAUGACAAUUCUGCGCGAUCAA